Molecule: unclassified non-coding RNA, 250 nt
Filed under: plant metagenome
Description: partial contains small subunit ribosomal RNA, internal transcribed spacer 1, and 5.8S ribosomal RNA
Rfam family: Eukaryotic small subunit ribosomal RNA (bases 1-53)
Source: RNAcentral
GGAAGUAAAGUCGUAACAAGGUCUCCGUAGGUGAACCUGCGGAGGGAUCGCUACAGAGUUCAUGCCCUACCGGGUAGAUCUCCCACCCUAUGUUAUUAUUACUUUGUUGCUUUGGCGGGCCGUUAGGCUCCGGCCCGACUACCGGCCCCGGCUGGUAAGCGCCCGCCAGAGGACCCAAAACCCUGAAUAUUAGUGUCGUCUGAGUACUAUAUAAUAGUUAAAACUUUCAACAACGGAUCUCUUGGUUCUG